ACUCCGGUAGCCCAACGGCAGAGGCACCGGCCUUAAAAGCCGGCAAGUGCGGGUUCGAGUCCCGCUCGGAGUA
Molecule: transfer RNA, 73 nt
Filed under: Planctomycetota bacterium
Lineage: Bacteria; Pseudomonadati; Planctomycetota
Description: tRNA-Leu
Rfam family: tRNA
About the family: Transfer RNA (tRNA) molecules are approximately 80 nucleotides in length.
Source: RNAcentral